Molecule: ribosomal RNA, 253 nt
Filed under: uncultured bacterium
Lineage: Bacteria
Description: partial 16S ribosomal RNA
Rfam family: Bacterial small subunit ribosomal RNA
Source: RNAcentral
GACGAACCGUCCGAACGUUGUUCGGAAUCACUGGGCGUAAAGGGAGCGUAGGCGGCGUGGUAAGUCAGAUGUGAAAUCCCGGGGCUCAACCCCGGAACUGCAUCCGAUACUGCCAUGCUAGAGGAUUGGAGAGGUAGCUGGAAUUCUUGGUGUAGCAGUGAAAUGCGUGGAUAUCAAGAGGAACACUCGUGGCGAAAGCGAGCUACUGGACAAUUCCUGACGCUGAGGCUCGAAGGCUAGGGUAGCGAAAGGG